Molecule: long non-coding RNA, 339 nt
Organism: Pseudophryne corroboree (corroboree frog)
Lineage: Eukaryota; Metazoa; Chordata; Amphibia; Anura; Myobatrachidae
Exons: 2
Source: RefSeq, a predicted model, not a curated record
GGCUACAUGGGACAAGAGCAACUGCUACAGAGCCUUCCUUCGUUCCUGCCACUGCCAGCCAGCCAGAUAAGUUAAUGGAAAAAGUUCAAGAAACUUGCUCAAAAGUUUGAAAAUGCAGCAGAAAUUCCUGAACUACAUAGAUUAAAAGAUUUGAUGUAAAUUCAGGCAAGGUGAAAAGUAAAAGAAUAUGUAAGUGCGCAGUCAGCAGCAGCUGGUAUGGGGAUGGUCAGAUCCCAGAAUAUAAUAGAAUAAAAAACACAAGUACCAGCGCUGGCUGUAAGAAUUAUAUAAGGACGGUUUGCUGAAUAAAAUGUCAAUUUAUUAAAUCAUUUAAAAAGA